Long non-coding RNA from Nothoprocta perdicaria, 971 nucleotides. RefSeq lists it as uncharacterized. The transcript is spliced from 4 exons. NCBI's taxonomy places the organism in Eukaryota, Metazoa, Chordata, Aves, Tinamiformes, Tinamidae. The record is from RefSeq and is a predicted model, not a curated record.
CCCCCAGGAUUUGAUCAAUGGCACUGUGGGCCAGUCUGUGCUCCUGCCCAUCUCUUAUAAAUUCAAUAACAUCUCUCUCUUUCCACUGGCAAUUCAGUGGGCAUUCAAUAACCCCUCAAACUGGGUCAUCAGCUGCACAGUGCACAACUGUUCAGUGGGUCCUGACGGGGUUCUCAAGAAUUGCUCUGCAAGCUAUUUCUCACACAACACGUACCGGGGUCGUGUUGUACUUUUCCCUGAGAACGCAUCCUUGCUGCUCCGGGACCUGCAGCUCAGCGACAGUGGGGUCUACAUCGUCACCUUCAAACAGCAGAUCCUGACCAAGAACAUCACCCUAACUGUGCACAGCCCUCACUUCAACCUUAAAAACCCAGGUCUCCAAUCCAGAGGAGUCUCCCAUGGAAUGUACCAUGAUGAGGGAUACAGCAACUGUUUAUGCCACAGUUGGAAACAACUUUGAACAGCCACAGCAGAGAGCAACACCAGAGACCGUGUACACAUCUGUAACCUUCAGUGGCCCACCAGGAAGACGUUGACCACGGUCAUCUUGAGCAGCAAUUGUGCAUCUGCCUGGAGUGGGAGCCUUGAACUUUGCUGAAGUUUGGACCUUUGGACCUUAUUUUAAAGCCACCACAAUUUGUGAGCUACUUUCCUCAACAGAUGCUGGUUUGCCGUCCGUUGGAGCUGCGGGGGACCAGCUGGGUGCUGCUUGCAGGGCUGUUAGUGCCCGUGCAAUGGGCUGCAGAACCAGGAGGACCUCUGGAAAGAAAAGCUGCCGCUGUGGGAUCCUCAGUGCUGCUUCCCGUGCCAGAUAAUGUCACACAGAUACRCUCUGUGCAGUGGGAGUACCUCAACGGCACCGAGUCCCACGCCAUCCUCCAGCACUACAGAGGGUCACACAGUCCAACUGUCUGUGCACCAUACGCUGGUCGAGCCAUUUUCCAUCCAUCCAAUGGAUCUCUCUUGCUGGA